This is a long non-coding RNA of Myzus persicae (green peach aphid), 897 nucleotides long. RefSeq lists it as uncharacterized. Lineage: Eukaryota; Metazoa; Arthropoda; Insecta; Hemiptera; Aphididae. The transcript has 2 exons. The record is from RefSeq and is a predicted model, not a curated record.
UUUUUAUUUUUUAGCAUUGGUAAAUGUACUAGAUUUUAUUACAGAAAUGUGUUGUUGAGUUAUCAUGAUGAUAUCGAAAAGUAUAAAAAAAAAUUGUAGAAAUGCAAACUACAAUAAAUUUAUAAAAAUAAGUUAUAAAAAUAAGUCCAACAAAUCAAAUGAUUGAGGAAAAAUUCGAACGAAAAUUUCAUGAAAAACUGUCUGGUCAUUUUACUUCCCCACAAAUCAGUUUAAUUUUGCGUCCAAAACAAAAAGUGGUCAGAAACAGAUAUUGCAUUAGCUAUUACUCUACGAUGCUAAUCUCCAAAAGCAUAUAGAUAUAUAAGAGAAAAAUUGCAAUACCCUCUACCAGGUAUAUAAAUUAAAUAAAAAAUAUGUAAACUCUAACAAUCAAUAUAAUUUAUAAAGUUAUUUUAAAUUAACCAGUAUAAAAAUAAUUUUUUUUCAGGACUUUCAACUUUACGUAAAUGGGCUGCUAAAUUUGAUUUGAAAUCUGAUAUACUACAUAGUAUUUUACAUAUAAUGAAAUGUAAAGGUGAAUCUAUGUCUGCGGAAGAGAGAAUAACUGUUAUAUCAUUUGAUGAAACAUACUUGUCAAAGAAAAUCUGUUAUGAUAAAUCAUCUCAGAAAAUUAUAGGUCCCCAUCAAUCGGUUCAGACUGUUGUUGCUAGAGGUAUGUAAUACCAUUACAGAUUUACAGCCACAACUUCUUAUGUUUGAACUUUCUUAACGUUUCAGGUGUAAUUGGUCAAUGGAAGCAACCAGUAUUUUAUGCAAAUGAUACGCACAUGACUAAAGAAUUGCUAUUUGAAAUAAUAAUGACCUUAACUACAUGUCAGUUUGAUGUUUGUUGCUGUUGUUAGUGAAAUGGGUACUUCUAAUCAAGGACUUUGGAAA